GGGCAUCAGCAAAGUAAGCCAAGAGUUUGUUUAAAUACUUGGAGCUCUGCUAUCUAUCAGAAGUGACAAGAGAUUACAUUAUGCAGAGGGCUGGCUAUUUUAAGAGGGAGCCAGGUGCCAACUUUCCUGGCUACUGAAGUCUUUAAUACUGUUGUGGGAAUAGAAAGUGUUGGACAUGUAUGGAUCCCAUGCACCCAGGGUACUUGCCAGACCCACUCCUGCUGCAUGGAUGCGCUGUUUGCUGUCUCUGCAUCUGCCUUGUGACUCUGCAUAGAAAUAUUUCCUUAGGGUGAGACUGCACGUGGUCCUGGAUGAAAACUCAAGACCUUUCUUGCUAAUUCAGUU
This 345-nucleotide long non-coding RNA is filed under the name Numida meleagris (helmeted guineafowl). RNAcentral describes it as "lncRNA (ENSNMEG00000001662.1)". Lineage: Eukaryota; Metazoa; Chordata; Aves; Galliformes; Numididae. The record is from RNAcentral.